This 450-nucleotide ribosomal RNA is filed under the name uncultured bacterium. Its description in RNAcentral is "partial 16S ribosomal RNA". It matches the Rfam family "Bacterial small subunit ribosomal RNA", at positions 354 to 796 of the family's 1533-position model. The record is from RNAcentral.
GUGGGGAAUUUUGGACAAUGGGCGCAAGCCUGAUCCAGCCAUGCCGCGUGCAGGAUGAAGGCCUUCGGGUUGUAAACUGCUUUUGUACGGAACGAAAAGACUUCUUCUAAUACAGGAGGUCCAUGACGGUACCGUAAGAAUAAGCACCGGCUAACUACGUGCCAGCAGCCGCGGUAAUACGUAGGGUGCAAGCGUUAAUCGGAAUUACUGGGCGUAAAGCGUGCGCAGGCGGUUAUAUAAGACAGAUGUGAAAUCCCCGGGCUCAACCUGGGAACUGCAUUUGUGACUGUAUAGCUAGAGUACGGUAGAGGGGGAUGGAAUUCCGCGUGUAGCAGUGAAAUGCGUAGAUAUGCGGAGGAACACCGAUGGCGAAGGCAAUCCCCUGGACCCGUACUGACGCUCAUGCACGAAAGCGUGGGGAGCAAACAGGAUUAGAUACCCUGGUAGUCC